GACAAAAAACUGAGUUUUUACUUGGCUGUAUUUGUGCUUAAAUGUUGUUACAGAUGUUGUUUCCAUGCUAGAGAGAACUAAAGUUUUGUGUGUGGGAUUAUGUGACAAAAUUGUCAAAAACUUUAUAUAAAAACAAAAAAUUAUUUUCCUUUAAUUUUCAUCCACACAUAUGCAUUUGUGCUACAGGCUAGAGAUUUGCAACCCCUGCAGUAUUGAUAAUGUACUCUUGGCCAUGCAUUUGUUCUUCACUCUCGUAGUUCUUGACAACAGUUGAUUAUUUAUAUUAUAUUGCUCCUAGUUGACUGUGAUUUCAUUAUCUUUUGUAUUAUGUCAUUUUUUCUCCUCUUGAGUCCUUUGUUGAUUUAAGUUUUGUUUCUUCAAAAACUGACUUUUCCCCUUUUUGUGGAAAUUGCAGUCUGUACACUGCAGAACAUUGGGUUCUGGCUCUAGGCUUUUGGUGCCAGGCAUGGCUGUGCAACCCAUGUGGACUGGAAUAGUCCAGGCACAGUCUCACACCAGUGAAAUGAGUGUUUCAUAAGAAUGCCUUUCUAUUGUGCGAUUUUUCUCCCCCCACCUACCAAAGCCAGUAGUAGUUGUGAAUAUCAGUUUUGACUUUUGGAUUGUUUCUGCUCUGAUAGGUUUGAGACUGUUUUAACUUGGAGGACAUGACUGUUCUCCAUACUAUAACUUCUGCUAUCUCAAGUUUUUGUAUAGAAACUCCCUAGGGAGUACUCAUUGAAGGGGCUUUUCAUCUGUUUCUCUCAUCUUCUGUGGAUGAUGGAUACUCACUGCAAUCACAGACUCUCGACCACAAAACCACCUUUCCAAAAAGAAUGUAAAAUGAGAGAUGGCUGAAGUGUCUAUCAAACUCUGAUCUAGGUCUGCUAAAUGUAUCAAAAGCAUUCCUCUGCUUUCCUGGCAAGGGCAUCAAAUGCCCAGACACUUCAGAUGAAAGAGUAUACUCACUAACUUUCCACAUGAAAAUAGGAAUUGUCACUUCUUGUUUUCCUGCUGUCUUCCAUCUUGUUUCAUAGGCUUUGUGGCUUCAGAGAUUCCAUGUCUCUAGAAAUGACAGAUGAGACGACCUCACCAAGUUACCUUGCUCUUCUAGGCUGUCUUGAAUAUAGAAAACGCUUAAAGCAUUGCUAUAAAUUCCUGUUCCCUAAUGUGAGGAUGAUUUAAGAGAAUGUAUUUUAAAUUGUAUUGUGUAAUUUAGUCUUAUGAACACACAAAAGUUUAGCUUGAUUUGCAGAUCAUGGAAUAUUGCUGGGAAGGGAAGGGAAGGCUCUGGAUCCAUUUAAGUUGAAAUGCAAACAAGACAAAACAAGACAAAAUCAUUUUAGUAAUAUUAUUUACUUUAUAAAGCAAACAAAAUAGUUCUGUAGCUCUCCUGAAAAGAGAACAAAAAUAGCUGAAAGUUAAUUUACAAGACAAACCAGUAUAUUGUUCAUCCUUUAAGCAUUUCUGGUUGCCCAGCAUUUAAGCUGUUGCCCUUAAGAGGGACAUUAAUGGGUAUCAGAUUUUUCAUUACCACAGACCUGUUUGUCUGUUCAGUCUUUCUUAAUUAAAUAUGUUAGAAACAGGAUUUGAACUCUCUUGUUGUUUUCCAGCAUAAAAAAUAUCUCUGUCUCUGUGGCUGUAGGAACCAAUCUUGUCUAAAUUCCUCCUGGCUUUCUUUCAUUUUCCAUUUUUGCUAAAUACAAAUCUUCAUACCAGCCAUCACCUGAAACCUAUUUGGUUCCUAGGGCAUGUUCUGACCAGCUCUAGCACAAUCUCUUGUACUUUUCAUCUGACCCCUUGUACUGGGCAAUGUUUUCAGUGCCUUCUGUUCUCACUGGAAAAGUAAUUUCUUAAAUGGGAUGUCACUUAGCAUGAAUGAGAGGAGAAAACAUGCUCAGCUUCAUUAAGCAGCAAAUAGCUUUUGGCAAGUGUAUAAGUAAAUCAAGUUUAUAUAAAAGCCCUAAUCAUUUUCCACAUGACCUGUUACGUUAAGUUUUGGUUGGUUUUAUUUACCCUGUAAGAAUGUAUUCUGAUGAUUCUAAUUUGAGAUCUGUAAAGGAAAAAUGUUACCCUAUCAAAACUGAUAAUAUCAUAACUAAUUAAGGGCUUGACUGAGUUUGAAGGAGAUCAAUAUUACCUUCAUUUCUUGUGGUAAAUUUAUUUCUGAAAUAUAUUCUUUCUUUUUACAAUUGUCACAAUAGGUGAAUGCUGGACCUGUAUAUAUAAGAAAAAAGCCAUCAGGGUUUUUUUGGUUUGCUUUUUUUUUAAAAAAAAAACCCCAAACCUUCAGGUUCUGUAUGCUGGUUAUAUAUAGGGAAAAAGGUAUCAGGAGUGAUGUUUAGGGUCUUUUUUGUUUGGAUUUUGUUUUUUUUUUUUUAAUAACCCUUGGUUGUACAGCUAUUUACAGGUUGUAUCUUAGUGAAUUAUGAAAAUUACUGUUUAUGGAGAAAUGAAAUAUUACUGCAAAUAAGAACAUUAAAAUACUGAGUAGCUGGGUGACAAACCAUCUGAUGAAGUUCAGCACAGAUUAAUGUUAAAUGAUGUGUACAGGAGAUGUGAAAAAAUCCCCAAUUUCAAUUUACAUAUAAAGCAGAAGCCUCUAAUUAGACCACUAUGAUCCAAGAAUAAGGGCAGUGUACUAAGGUGGUUACUAUCACCUCAGUGUUCAAGAGCAACUGAAGGGGCAGAGGCAUGGGAGCUCUCGGGGUGGACUGAGGAGGAAGGAACCAAAACCAGAACACUGAACCUUUUCUCUUAUGCAUGAGCCUCUGGUGCCACACCAUGUACAAUGGCAUGUGAAAGGCUGUUCCCCUAAUCAUAAAAGUGGCACAGUAGCGCUACAAAAGAUUUAGAUUCAGAUUAUAAAAGUAAUCUAAUUUACAGAAGCACUUUUGUGUGAGGAACAGAUAAAGAGAGUGGGACAGAAGUGUUCACAAGUGGCACAUUCUAUAGGAUUUCAGCAACAUUCUUCCUUAUUUAUACUGCAGUUUUUAAAUUAACUCUCAUUCUUAAUUUAUGCAAAUUUUAAGACUGCCUGAAAGCAGAUGCCAAAGUUUUGAUUACAUGUUUUCUAUUGAAUUCUAUUGAUUAUAAAGAAAAAAAAAGAAAUAGCACAGCAGUCAUCUAUCAGAAACCAGUUUAAUACACUGUGUUUUUCUGAAAAAGAUUUGCAACUGGUAGACAGAUAAUUCUCCUAGAAUGGUGUAGUUUAUUUUGCUUUUAUAGUGUAUUUUCAGAUGAUUUUUGAGGUUGAGUUUUAAUAGUUAAUUGGAAACCACAGUACGAAGACACCAAAAACUACACAAGCCUUCCUGUGAUAUGCAAGUAAACUGUAUGAAUAGAGUGAUGCUUAGCUUAGUACUUCACUGUGUAAUUGCACCUCAUUCAACUUCUCUAAUAAUUAAUUAGGUUUUUUGUGGUGCCCUAUUCCUGUUAGUGACCACUGUCUAAAACAGAAUAUGAAACAUGAAAUGUUUUUAACAGAAAACCAACCAAAAACUUCUUUCAAGGAGACAUCAUAAGGUAAUGGUAUAAAAGUAUUGACAUGUUGAACUGUGCCUUGAAGCAUUUUAUUUGCCCAAAUACUUCCUUUUAUCAUUUGCACAAGAUUGGUCUAGAUGAGAUUUUGUGCUGAUGAGCUGUAUCUGAGUGCCAAUGUAAAAUGUAUAAGUGGAUUCUAUGUUUUAUUGAAUAUGUUGGGUAAGUGGCUCUUCCCGUCUCUGAUAGUGCACAGAGCUGGAAUGUUGGCUUAGCUGAUGUCCUGAAGGCUGCCAAAAAUGGAUGUCUUCCAGCAAAAUAAAAUCAGAGCCAAGUGUGUAGAGACAAAUUUAAAAAUGCCUGCCUUAGCCCCAGCCACCCUGUCCUUGGUGCCAAGAACUGAACAUCAAUCUUGAGUCAUGUCUGUGUUACCAAGUCACGCAAACCAGUAAUGUGCAUGCAUCUGUGAAGUAGAGCACGUGGUGCUGGAGAUCCAGCAUACAUCAUAUAUUCUUUGGUAUGUUUUGUUUCAAACUACUUCUAGUAUCAUUCUGUGUGCCUUUUAACAGCUGGAGUAGAUUACACAUGCUGCUGAAGUCCAUCUUCCAAAUAAGUUUUAUCUGAAAAGAUUCCAGUUCAUAUGAUCAAAGGCUAUUCUGCAAUAUGAGCAAAGGCUGUUAAGCAGAGAGCUAUUAAAAGUGCUGUUUUGUACUAACAAGCUGUGGUAGAUGUGUCCCAAGCCUCCAGCCAGCACUUGUAUUCCCAUAACACAGCAUGUCAGCUUACAGAUGUGAAAUUCAUAAUACAGCACCAUUGUUACUAGUGAAACUAUUGUCUGAGCUGAGUACUUAGGGAGUGCCCAGCCCUUCUGGCAGACUAUUCAAAGAAAAAAACCCAAUGAUCUAGACCAGUGGUCUCCAAGUGAUUUGAUCAUCUACUCCAUCAGUAAAGAAUUUUUGAACAUUUACCCACCAAUAAUGUAUUCUAAUAUUCUAAUUCUAAUAUUUUCACUACAGUGGAUCAUAGAAUUAUUUGCUUGGAAAAGACCUCAAAGAUCCUAAGCAAAGAUUAUCUGUGGAGAACUGAAGGUAACAUCCAAAGUACAGAGUUUGCAAAAGAAUUAAACAUUUUCUUAUCAGUCAGACACUGAAAUCUAUCCAAAGAACAGAUUACUGAUGAAUUUUUUUUGUAUCAGUAGGUCACUGAGAAAUUUAACAUCUCCUUACAAAAACAUGAUUAUAAUAAAAGGA
Long non-coding RNA from Parus major (Great Tit), 4727 nucleotides. RefSeq lists it as uncharacterized. NCBI's taxonomy places the organism in Eukaryota, Metazoa, Chordata, Aves, Passeriformes, Paridae. The transcript has 2 exons. The record is from RefSeq and is a predicted model, not a curated record.